UUCUUCUUCGGAGUUUCCAACGUGUCACCCGUUCGUUUUCUUCCUUUCGAAUCGAAAAGAGAGAGAGAGAAGAGAGAGAGAGAAGAAGAAGAAGAGAGAGGGGAGAAGCCCACUACCUGCGCCGCUACUUUUCCUCUCUUUCUUCUUCGAAGUUCUGAGG
Molecule: non-coding RNA, 160 nt
Filed under: Chloropicon mariensis
Lineage: Eukaryota; Viridiplantae; Chlorophyta; Chloropicophyceae; Chloropicales; Chloropicaceae
Source: RNAcentral